Molecule: non-coding RNA, 692 nt
Organism: Ciona intestinalis (vase tunicate)
Lineage: Eukaryota; Metazoa; Chordata; Ascidiacea; Phlebobranchia; Cionidae
Source: RefSeq, a predicted model, not a curated record
UUCGGCUGUCAAUCAAACUUGCCAUGUGAUCAAGAUCCGUCUCCCAACAUUUUUCCGGCUGUAAGAAACAAUAUAUAAUAAGUUGGGUGAAAGUCGUAUACGCUAUAGUUCCAUACCUUGCAUUUAUAAAGUUUGACGUCGAUUCCUUGUGAUAUGGAGAGUGUUUUAUACAACGAGAACCCGGGGCAUGGUACAAGUAUGUUGUCACCUCGGUCAGCUAGUACAGUGAUCGCCAUGUUUAACGCAUCGGAGCAACCACAGCUAAGGUAAACGUCCUGGAGGGUGAGGGUGUUGGGGUCAUCUUAUAAACCUUCGUUACCGUGACCGGAAAAAUGAAAUAAAGUCAUUCAUUCAUAUCUAUGUAAACUACAUCAUACAGUAAUGUGAAUAUCAUCAGCGGACAGAUGCUUUGAACUUGGAUCUUCAGUGGAAAUGGCUGUUUCAUACAUUAUCAUAUUAGCCGCUUGUUAAUCGUUAAUUUGGCGGCAUUUAGGCAAAAAAAUCGAUUUGAUGAGCUUUGUGAAGAUAUUCUAGUGUUUAUUAUGACGUCAUACUCGUGAUGAUUGUUUACAUUCUAGAGUCCAUUCAUAUGUGACGAAACAAUUUUGUGACGGGUUAUUUCCCUAACAUGCGAUAAUGUUCCUAUAUUUUUAAACCUAAAUUUAAUAUUUUUAAUAAAAGUAAAAAUAUAA